AAGUAUGUAUGCGUGAAAAAGAUAACCCUAAUUGCUACACGUAUUAGGCAAACACCGCGAGGCUGAUAGAAAGUGGUGUCUGUCGCGGGUUGACUGAAACUUCACUGCGCUUAAUUGGGCAGGAAACACCAAAAUUCACAUUCUAUACUAAGCCAGCCUUUGCAAUACAUGACGCGGCAGUAGUUCCAGCAGUGACGCAAGGAGCGCAGGCAUCCCAACCCUCUCAACCUGCCAACCCCGCCCCUCCACGUAUUCCAUCUCUGCCCGCUCACCUCGCGCCACAUAGGCGUCGUGCUGUGUGAUGGUGAGCCGCCGCACCAGCCGCCGCUUCUCACACAGCGACCGCAGCGACGCCUCCGCCUGUGUGUGCGUGUGUGUUUGGGCGGGGGGGGGAUGGGAUGGGGUGGGGGUGGUGGCAGUACUUACACCCCGGCAGCAGAUACAGGGCUGGGAUGGGGUGACCCCCACCUGCUGGCAGUUCACCUCGGCCUGAGCACGAGCUGACACAUUACGCACCUCGUCUGGAUGGGCUGACGACUCUUGCCAGUCCCGUUGGAAUGGACACGAGUACCGUUAUCGGACUGUCUUUGUCACCAAGCCCAAGCACAGCGGGUCCACGCAGCCCCCACCCGCCCCUUCCCCCACCCCACCUGCAUUGCCAGGUCCGGCCGCGCCGCCAGCAGCAGCUGGUAGGCCGCCCGCAGCCGCCGACACGCCAUGGCGCCGCUGGCUGCAGCCCGAAGGCCCUCCGCGCUGCUACAGCCGCUCCCGCCCGUAAUGCUACUGCCG
Molecule: long non-coding RNA, 789 nt
Filed under: Chlamydomonas reinhardtii
Lineage: Eukaryota; Viridiplantae; Chlorophyta; Chlorophyceae; Chlamydomonadales; Chlamydomonadaceae
Description: long non-coding RNA (CREI_LNC000274)
Source: RNAcentral